This 2004-nucleotide long non-coding RNA is filed under the name Pelobates cultripes (western spadefoot toad). Lineage: Eukaryota; Metazoa; Chordata; Amphibia; Anura; Pelobatidae. The record is from RNAcentral.
AUUGUUGUCACAAGCCUCUCAGGUGUUUGGGCAUCAAUUAAACUCAAUUUAUAUUUUUCUUAUAGUUGAUCGAAAGGCAGAAGACUAUUGGAAGAAAAAAAAUCAUCAAUAUCGACAAUCAAAUGGGAGGCCCAGUAAUCUACAUCCAAUUCAGGUAAAGCAUGUACUGCUGAUAAUUGCAUGCAGUCAAAUUUUCUUGAAUAAAAGUUUCCACAUCAGAAGGGUUAAUUUAGUGGAGGGAAAUAAGUAUGUCACCUUAGGACUGUCAUACCUCCUCGCGGCCCACGCUGCUCCGGUUCCGCCGUCCGCUCUGCUCCUCCAGGCUCUGCUAGCUUACGGCUGACAGUGCAUGCACGUGCCCGGCUGCGCGCGCGACCAGGAAUGCGCGCAUGCACGCGCGGUUUGCCGCUGAGCUCUUAAAAUGAUACUACCAUAAUUUCAUGAAUCCUGGUAACUCUUUUAUAAUCUCUCCUAUUCUCUUCCCUAGCCUAUCAGAUCUCUCUUAGCCCUAUUUAUACCUCCCUCCUACAUCACUUCCUUGCCCUGUCGUGGUCUAUUGUAGCCCGAGAGUGUGUUCUGUAUACUUGUGUGUUUCCUGGUAUCUGACUUCGGCUUGUCUCUGGUUAUCCGUAUUUUCUGGCUUCCUUGACCCUUGGCUUAGUUUCUCAUUUGUUCUUCCUUCUCCUGUCCUGACCUCAGCUCAUUUAUUCUGUUACUCUCCUUACUUUUCUUGAUUUUUGGUAAUACGUCUAGCUUGGCUUGCCUGUUAGUCCUGUAGUUAGAGUGUUGGGGAACCUAACCUUGACAAGGACGUUGAGAUGAAGGCAACCAUAAUAAAUCUUUAAUAGAGGGAGGUCAAAUUUUAUAUGCCUCCAUCUCAAGCCAUUGGGAUAUGGCCUUAUCUAAGUUAAAUUUAAAAACCAUAGCUGCGUUAGUCACGUAAAAGUAGUUAAUAAAAUCUGGUAAACCCAUACCCCCACCAACCUUUGGUUUUUGCAUAAUGGAUAACGAAAUUCUUCCAGGUUUUUUUUUUUUUCAAAAUAAAUUAAACAAGGGCAGAGUGGAUUUUCCUAAAAAAAAUAUAGUGUUAUAGGGAAGGGAAUAGUUCUACGUAUAUAUAUAAUUUUUGGAAGGAGAGUAAUUUUGACCAAAUUAAUUCUCCCUAACCAUGAAAUUUCAAGAGCACACUAUCCUAAAUUCGGACCAGACCUUUUCUAAAUUACAUCUAUGCAUCUUGGACAGAUUCUUGCACAGGUUUAUGCCCAGAUAGGAUAUACAUGAAUCCCUCCAAUCAAAAUCUUGCAUUUUCUUUAUGGUGUCUAAAUCAAACCAUGGUAUAAAUAAUUGAAGAGCUUGAGUUUUUGCUGUAUUCAAUUUAUAAGAGAUAUUGCCAGAUUAUUGCAGAAUAGACAUCAGUGGAGGUAGUGAGGUCAGAGGAUUGUUUAAAGAAAGUAUGAUGUCAUCUGCAAAUAGACCAAUUUUAUGUUCUUUAUCUCCUACAGAGAUGCCCUCAAUGUCAAUUGAUUGACGUAUCAAUUCAGCCAGAGGCUCCAUCUCCAGCACGAAUAAAAGUGGUGAUAAUGGACAGCCCUGUCUCGUGCCAUUGGAGAAUUGAAAAGUUUCAGACAUGAAUCCAGCCACCGAAACUUUGUCCGUAGGUCUGCAAUAAAGUGUGAAUACAGCCCUGAUGAAAAGAACAGGCUAGUUGAAACGCGACAACACUUCCCUAUGAAUCCUAUUGAACGCCCUCUCUGCCUGCAAAGAUUUUUAAAAUCUCUCUGUGUGCACUACUCUUUGUCCUAAAAGUUGGAAUAAGACUAUCGGGAAGGAAAUGUUUGCAGGGUUUAGCUAUGGGUGUAGUGAAGCACACAGCAAAAGGAAUUGAGGAAAGUAGAGAAGAGGAGGGUCUGUGAGAUAAGAAAUGUCCUUGUGAAUAACUUUCUAAAAAGACAUAGCUACUAAUUUUGAAAAGUGUGCCUAACUCAUUUACCUCAAACAUCUCCC